AUAUGUCAGCGGCAGACGGGUGAGUAACGCGUGGGAACGUACCUUUUGGUUCGGAACAACUGAGGGAAACUUCAGCUAAUACCGGAUAAGCCCUUACGGGGAAAGAUUUAUCGCCGAAAGAUCGGCCCGCGUCUGAUUAGCUAGUUGGUGAGGUAAUGGCUCACCAAGGCGACGAUCAGUAGCUGGUCUGAGAGGAUGAUCAGCCACAUUGGGACUGAGACACGGCCCAAACUCCUACGGGAGGCAGCAGUGGGGAAUAUUGGACAAUGGGCGCAAGCCUGAUCCAGCCAUGCCGCGUGAGUGAUGAAGGCCCUAGGGUUGUAAAGCUCUUUUGUGCGGGAAGAUAAUGACGGUACCGCAAGAAUAAGCCCCGGCUAACUUCGUGCCAGCAGCCGCGGUAAUACGAAGGGGGCUAGCGUUGCUCGGAAUCACUGGGCGUAAAGGGUGCGUAGGCGGGUCUUUAAGUCAGGGGUGAAAUCCUGGAGCUCAACUCCAGAACUGCCUUUGAUACUGAAGAUCUUGAGUUCGGGAGAGGUGAGUGGAACUGCGAGUGUAGAGGUGAAAUUCGU
RNAcentral lists this ribosomal RNA (569 nucleotides) under Bradyrhizobium sp. UFLA4-80. RNAcentral describes it as "bacterial SSU rRNA". It matches the Rfam family "Bacterial small subunit ribosomal RNA", at positions 87 to 691 of the family's 1533-position model. The record is from RNAcentral. Lineage: Bacteria; Pseudomonadati; Pseudomonadota; Alphaproteobacteria; Hyphomicrobiales; Nitrobacteraceae.